RNAcentral lists this ribosomal RNA (449 nucleotides) under uncultured bacterium. Its description in RNAcentral is "bacterial SSU rRNA". It matches the Rfam family "Bacterial small subunit ribosomal RNA", at positions 355 to 825 of the family's 1533-position model. The record is from RNAcentral.
UGGGGAAUAUUGCGCAAUGGGGGAAACCCUGACGCAGCGACGCCGCGUGUGGGAUGAAGGUCUUCGGAUUGUAAACCACUGUCGCGAGGGACGAAGCUCUGACGGUACCUCGAAAGGAAGCACCGGCUAACUCUGUGCCAGCAGCCGCGGUAAUACAGAGGGUGCGAGCGUUGUCCGGAAUCAUUGGGCGUAAAGAGCGUGUAGGCGGCCAGGUAGGUCGGUUGUGAAAACUGGAGGCUCAACCUUCAGACGUCGACCGAAACCCCUUGGCUAGAGUCCGGAAGAGGAGAAUGGAAUUCCUGGUGUAGCGGUGAAAUGCGCAGAUAUCAGGAAGAACACCCGUGGCGAAAGCGGUUCUCUGGGACGGUACUGACGCUGAGACGCGAAAGCGUGGGGAGCGAACAGGAUUAGAUACCCGGGUAGUCCCUGAGCGGGCUGGCAAGGCGCAU